Non-coding RNA from Phascolarctos cinereus (koala), 1292 nucleotides. NCBI's taxonomy places the organism in Eukaryota, Metazoa, Chordata, Mammalia, Diprotodontia, Phascolarctidae. The record is from RefSeq and is a predicted model, not a curated record.
UUGGAUUCAGAUUGGGAAGGUCUUGGAAUGCCCAGAUCCACCAACUGCCUUUCUUUAGGGGGACAAAGGCAAGAGCUGUGGUGCCAGGCCUUCUCAACUGUUAUCCCUGUAGGAAGGAGGGAGGACGUGGCGCCCCAGGAGAUAUAUUGCCAGCUAAAACACAAUAGCCCACGAAUCGUGAAAGACGUGGCAUGAGCCAUUCAGGGAGACAGAUUUACUUCUGAUCCUCCCUUGCGACCAUAUAUCCAUCUGCUUGGAGAGAAACAGCCUGCCCACUGGAUUACAUUUCAGCAAGGGGCCCCAGCAAGAGGCUGGCGUCCUGUACUUCCCGUUCCGUGGACUGAGGGAGAAUGAAAGCCCCCCAAGGGCUGAGACUGUUUCCUUUUGAUUUUUGUAUUCCUGGUAAUCAGUCUUUCAUAAAGCCUGGCCAAAUUGAAUCAUUGAAUUGAGUGGGCAGGAACGUGCCUUUCUUUCACUCCUGCUGAGGACAGGAAAAGAUUAAAAUGCCCUUCCAUUUCAAGAAGGAAGAUAUCAGUUGGACUUCCUCCUGGACAGAUAUUUGUUGAGUGGUCUCCAUCUGGGUUUUGAGAUUCCAAGGAUUGCCAGAUCAGGAAGCCUAUGGGAUUUUCUUUCUGGUGUUGAGUGGUCUGGCAUCCAUAGGCUUCCAGACUUGGAGAUUGGAGUCAUUUGAGAGGUUGACUUGUGCAGCUUGGCAUCGUUUGGUAGGUGAGGAGAUGAGGCCAAGAGGGUCCACGUGGCUCAUCUAAGACCACCCCGGUUAUAAGUGACAAAGGCAGGAUUUGAAUCCAUUUAGAUGGACUCCAAAUCCAGGGUGGUAUGUGCUGCCCUGGUAACGCCAGGUGUCUCCUGGACUUCUGGAGGUGGACGUCGGGGCUGGAGGAAUACCUUUCAGUGCUCAUGAGCUAGGCUCUGGUUUAGCCUAGUGGAAGCCUGCUUGUCCCUCUGCGCCUUACUUUCAUCAUCGGUGAAAUGUGGAGAUCGGCACACUUAGGAUGCUAAGUCAAGAAAAAGGCCCCUGUGUCGUAAUGGAAACCAGGGUUUGAGGAAGAUUGCUUGGACAGCUGUGUAGUGGAUCCUUGGGAGUGGGAGAGGCUGGAGACUGAGAAGAGCUAGCAGGCUGUUUGAGGCUCCUCUGGGUCGGAGGUUCCCGAUCCCUGGGGGGUGGGUUGCAGUUAUUGUGGGGGGGGGUUCAUCUCUUAAAUGACUCAGUAUAGUACAGAAACAAAUGUAUCUCUGGUAGACUGAAUAAAUCCGCAUCAUGACGAGCAGAA